CAAUAGCGUAUAUUAAAGUUGUUGCGGUAAAAAAGCUCGUAGUUGGAUUUCUACCGAAGAUAGCCGGUCGGGUCUUCGACCUUGUAUCUGGUUUUGUCUUUGGUAUCCUCAUAGGGAACGUUUCUGCGCUUUAUUGCGUGGUGCGGUAUCUAUGACUUUUACUUUGAGGAAAUUAGAGUGUUCACGGCAGGCAAACGCCUUGAAUAUAUUAGCAUGGAAUAAUAACAUAGGAUCUUCGUCCUAUUUUGUUGGUUUCUAGGGCUAAGAUAAUGAUUAAUAGGGAUAAUUGGGGGCAUCUGUAUCAACGCGUCAGAGGUGGAAUUCUUGGAUUGCGUUGCGACAGACUACUGCGAAAGCAUUUGCCAAGGAUGUUUUCAUUGA
RNAcentral lists this ribosomal RNA (381 nucleotides) under uncultured eukaryote. RNAcentral describes it as "partial 18S ribosomal RNA". It matches the Rfam family "Eukaryotic small subunit ribosomal RNA", at positions 592 to 976 of the family's 1831-position model. The record is from RNAcentral.